AAAUCCCCGGGCUCAACCUGGGAACUGCAUCUGAUACUGGCAAGCUUGAGUCUCGUAGAGGGGGGUAGAAUUCCAGGUGUAGCAGUGAAAUGCGUAGAGAUCUGGAGGAAUACCGGUGGCGAAGGCGGCCCCCUGGACGAAGACUGACGCUCAGGUGCGAAAGCGUGGGGAGCAAACAGGAUUAGAUACCCUGGUAGUCCACGCCGUAAACGAUGUCGACUCGGAGGAUGUGCCCUUGAGGCGUGGCUUCCGGAGCUAACGCGUUAAGUCGACCGCCUGGGGAGUACGGCCGCAAGGUUAAAACUCAAAUGAAUUGACGGGGGCCGCACAAGCGGUGGAGCAUGUGGUUUAAUUCGAUGCAACGCGAAGAACCUUACCUGGUCUUGACAU
RNAcentral lists this ribosomal RNA (390 nucleotides) under uncultured Gammaproteobacteria bacterium. RNAcentral's name for it is "bacterial SSU rRNA". It matches the Rfam family "Bacterial small subunit ribosomal RNA", at positions 597 to 987 of the family's 1533-position model. The record is from RNAcentral. Lineage: Bacteria; Pseudomonadati; Pseudomonadota; Gammaproteobacteria.